UGCAAGUCGAACGGUGAUGCCCAGCUUGCUGGGUGGAUCAGUGGCGAACGGGUGAGUAACACGUGAGCAACCUGCCCCUCACUUCGGGAUAAGCCUUGGAAACGAGGUCUAAUACCGGAUACGAGCACUUACCGCAUGGUGGGUGUUGGAAAGUUUUUCGGUGGGGGAUGGGCUCGCGGCCUAUCAGCUUGUUGGUGGGGUAAUGGCCUACCAAGGCGUCGACGGGUAGCCGGCCUGAGAGGGCGACCGGCCACACUGGGACUGAGACACGGCCCAGACUCCUACGGGAGGCAGCAGUGGGGAAUAUUGCACAAUGGGCGAAAGCCUGAUGCAGCGACGCCACGUGAGGGAUGACGGCCUUCGGGUUGUAAACCUCUUUCAGCAGGGAAGAAGCGAGAGUGACGGUACCUGCAGAAGAAGCGCCGGCUAACUACGUGCCAGCAGCCGCGGUAAUACGUAGGGCGCAAGCGUUGUCCGGAAUUAUUGGGCGUAAAGAGCUCGUAGGCGGUCUGUCGCGUCUGGUGUGAAAUCCCAUGGCUCAACCAUGGGCUUGCAUCGGGUACGGGCAGACUAGAGUGCUGUAGGGGAGACUGGAAUUCCUGGUGUAGCGGUGGAAUGCGCAGAUAUCAGGAGGAACACCGAUGGCGAA
Molecule: ribosomal RNA, 649 nt
Filed under: Promicromonospora sp. YIM 65734
Lineage: Bacteria; Bacillati; Actinomycetota; Actinomycetes; Micrococcales; Promicromonosporaceae
Description: bacterial SSU rRNA
Rfam family: Bacterial small subunit ribosomal RNA
Source: RNAcentral